RNAcentral lists this ribosomal RNA (465 nucleotides) under uncultured bacterium. Its description in RNAcentral is "partial 16S ribosomal RNA". It matches the Rfam family "Bacterial small subunit ribosomal RNA", at positions 28 to 507 of the family's 1533-position model. The record is from RNAcentral.
GACGAACGCUGGCGGCGUGCUUAACACAUGCAAGUCGAACGGAAAGGCCCUGCUUGCCGGGUACUCGAGUGGCGAACGGGCGAGUAACACGUGGGUGAUCUGCCCUGCACUUCGGGAUAAGCCUGGGAAACUGGGUCUAAUACCGGAUAGGAGCCAUUUUUAGUGUGAUGGUUGGAAAGUUUUUUCGGUGUAGGAUGAGCUCGCGGCCUAUCAGCUUGUUGGUGGGGUAAUGGCCUACCAAGGCGGCGACGGGUAGCCGGCCUGAGAGGGUGGACGGCCACAUUGGGACUGAGAUACGGCCCAGACUCCUACGGGAGGCAGCAGUGGGGAAUAUUGCACAAUGGGCGCAAGCCUGAUGCAGCGACGCCGCGUGGGGGAUGACGGCCUUCGGGUUGUAAACUCCUUUCGCUAGGGACGAAGCUUUUUGUGACGGUACCUAGAUAAGAAGCACCGGCUAACUACGUG